RNAcentral lists this ribosomal RNA (507 nucleotides) under uncultured bacterium. RNAcentral's name for it is "partial 16S ribosomal RNA". The record is from RNAcentral.
GGAGUUAGCCGGUGCUUCUUCUGUGAGUGAUGUCCUUCCUGCCGGCUAUUAACCCGCAGGCCUUCUUCCUCACUGAAAGUGCUUACAACCCGAAGGCCUUCUUCACACACGCGGCAUGGCUGGAUCAGGGUUCGCCCCCAUUGUCCAAUAUUCCCCACUGCUGCCUCCCGUAGGAGUCUGGGCCGUGUCUCAGUCCCAGUGUGGCUGAUCAUCCUCUCAGACCAGCUACGGAUCGUCGCCUUGGUGAGCCGUUACCUCACCAACCAGCUAAUCCGACAUAGGCUCAUCCGAUAGCGCGAGGCCCGAAGGUCCCCCGCUUUCCCCCGUAGGGCGUAUGCGGUAUUAGCCUGGGUUUCCCCAGGUUAUCCCCCACUACCGGGCAGAUUCCUAUGCAUUACUCACCCGUCCGCCGCUCGCCACCAGGGAGCAAGCUCCCCGUGCUGCCGCUCGACUUGCAUGUGUUAGGCCUGCCGCCAGCGUUCAAUCUGAGCCAGGAUCAAACUCUGA